CGGCGUGCUUAACACAUGCAAGUCGAACGGUGAUGGCCAGCUUGCUGGUCUGAUCAGUGGCGAACGGGUGAGUAACACGUGAGCAACCUACCCCAGACUCUGGAAUAACCAUGGGAAACGAUGGCUAAUACCGGAUACGAGACGCACACGCAUGUGUGGUGUCUGGAAAGAUUUAUCGGUCUGGGAUGGGCUCGCGGCCUAUCAGCUUGUUGGUGGGGUAGUGGCCCACCAAGGCGACGACGGGUAGCCGGCCUGAGAGGGCGACCGGCCACACUGGGACUGAGAUACGGCCCAGACUCCUACGGGAGGCAGCAGUGGGGAAUAUUGCACAAUGGGCGCAAGCCUGAUGCAGCGACGCCGCGUGAGGGAUGACGGCCUUCGGGUUGUAAACCUCUUUCAGCAGGGAAGAAGCGAAAGUGACGUAC
RNAcentral lists this ribosomal RNA (425 nucleotides) under Cellulomonas humilata. RNAcentral's name for it is "bacterial SSU rRNA". It matches the Rfam family "Bacterial small subunit ribosomal RNA", at positions 40 to 464 of the family's 1533-position model. Lineage: Bacteria; Bacillati; Actinomycetota; Actinomycetes; Micrococcales; Cellulomonadaceae. The record is from RNAcentral.